Musa acuminata AAA Group (dessert banana) is the source of this 2586-nucleotide long non-coding RNA. RefSeq lists it as uncharacterized. The record is from RefSeq and is a predicted model, not a curated record. The transcript is spliced from 4 exons. NCBI's taxonomy places the organism in Eukaryota, Viridiplantae, Streptophyta, Magnoliopsida, Zingiberales, Musaceae.
UGAUCACCAGCGUUGGCUCCUCCUCGCCAUCUCGUUCUUCAACUUCUCUCCAUGGGGGUUCUGCGAAUCCCGUCUCUCGCCCUUCUCCUCUCCCCAUCAGAAUCCCUUCGCCUAUCUCCCCCUUCCCUCUCUCUCCGCCUCCGGCCGACUUCUCCCAUGGGCGGAGCCGGUAGCAGAGGCCUCUCCGCCCAGAGCGUCGCGAAGGAGGAGCCAUCGCCUUCCUUGCUCUCACCCACGCCCCCGCCUCCGUCCCUGAUCGAAAGCCCUCCAAGAUCUACGAGGGUUUCGUCACCCCUCGAUAGGUGGAUUUCAACUCGUGGUACCUUGACGUCAUCGCCAGUGCUGAGCUCGCGGACUAUGGCCCCGUUCGCGGUACUAUGGACAUCCGCGCUUUCGGCUACGCCAUAUGGGAGGCAAUACAGGAGUAUCUGAACGUGAAGUUUAAAGAAACCGGCCACAGCAACAUGUACUUCCCUCAGGUGAUAAUAGUGCCAAUCUGGAAGACAGCUGAUGAGAAAAUGGAGUCAUGGAUGCCAUAACCUUACUGAAGGAAGUACUGCAUAAAGCAGGAGUCAAAAUCAAAGUUGAUGAUUCGGAACAAAGGACUCCAGGAUGGAAAUUCAACUUCUGGGAGAUGAAGGUAAGAUUGUUACUCAGUGAUAGUAUCAUUUGCUUAUUUGUUGUAUGUUUCCACCUAAUUUUAAUGGCAUCUCCAUCACAGUGCAACAGGGCACUCAUUUGUGAUGUUAUUCUCAUAUGUCUUCUCCAACAGUUGUGUCCUUACUACUUCAUGUGAGCUGUGUGCUCUUACUGGUUCAUCUGAGAAACAAAUUUCAUUACUUUGUCUAUCUUUCUUGUUGAAUCAGUCAGUUUGGACUGUUUAAACCACCAAUAUAGUUGAUGGAGAAAUCUAAACCUCUAUCCCAACUGCUGAAUUUUUUAUUGAAUGUGAUCUACACAUUUUCUCCAUUUCUACCUUUUCAGUUGUGUCCCUUCGACACAGGAUUUUUUUGUUAUUUCAUCAAUCCAUCCUGAAAUGUGUGUGUAAGCCUGAUUGUUGCAUAAGUUGAUUCUUGCAUUUUGUUUCAUUAAAUCAUCUUUGUUGAAUCUUAUUGAGGAGUCAUUCAGUAUCUGAAAAACUAAGCUGUCUAUUUCAAUCUGACUUCCUUUUGGACAAUCGAUCUCCGGUGUCCCUUUAAAAUUAGAGGUUGGGCCUCCUGAUGUUGCUAACAGGAGUGUGGUGGUAUCUAGGAGAGAUGUACCUGGGAAGCCAGGUAAAGAUCUUGGGAUAUCCAUGGAGCCUUCAGUUUUGGUGUCUCAUGUAAAGAGCAGGUUGGAGGACAUCCAGGCAUCGCUCGAGAUAGUAAUAUUGCAGAUGUGAAUUAGUAUGAGGUGUUGAAGGAGGUAAUUACUGAAGGGAAAUGGGCUAGGGGUCCAUGGUCAGCUAGGUGCGAAGUCGAAUAGCUUAUUAUUCUAUUCUUUAUCAAACUAUGGAAAUUGUAACUAUAAGAUGAGAACCUGUCUACUAACUACAAUGCAAAUUUCAGUGAUGCUGAGGAACUAAAAGUAAAUGAAUAGGAUGCUUCCCUUUUGAACAGCCUCAAGGGUUUCAUGACUGGUAAUCCAGCUGAUGAAGUUGCUAUUUUUGCAAAAUCUUAUUAGGCUUUUGUGUACAAUAAUUGAAAUUCAUGAUUGAAAUUUCUAAUUGAGUCUUCCUCCUAGUUGCCCCCAUUUAACCACUUCAUAAUUAAUCUUGUGAAACUAUCAUGUAAUAAUAUUUAUCAACAGUUUGUCGAUCAUGUAGGUUUGAAGUAUGAAACAUCUAGGACCAUAACUUGAUACUAAUCAAUUUUCAUAGCAUCUGCAAUGAAGAUUGUAAUAUUUUUCAUUUUUCCUGUCCAAGUUGUAAUAUGGUGAUAAUGAUCAAAUAUAUCCGUACUAUGCCAUUUUUUCACUUGAAUGUCUUUUUUCACUUGAAAUAGCAUAGAAGCCUUUUUUCACUUGAAAUAGCAUAGAAGCCUUUUUUUUCUUUUGUCACAUUGAUUAGAUCCGUUUGUCAUUGUGAUUUUCCUCUGGUGGAGAACAUGCGACCAUCACUGAGCUUUUGCAAACACCAUGAACCAAGCGAAAAGUCGUUUCCAUGCAGGUAUAUAUCAUUAAUGUUCCACUGAAAUUCCAUAAAAUAACUUUGUUCAACUAUUUAUAUGAUAGCAUAGUAGCCUUGUAAGUGAGAGAAAUCGUGACAAACAGGAAUAGUCUCUCUAUUUCAGUUUGAUUGACAAUAUGGCAUGAUUUCAAUUGAUUAAACAAUAAUUCAUGUGUUUCUGCAGACUUGUAGAACAAAUAUAUUCUUGCUGCGGCUGCUGCUUUUUCUUUUAGCAUUUAACGUUGAGAACCGCCCUGUUUUUGGUGGUUUUAACAGUUUGAAAUAAGCUUAAGAGACUAAUUAGAUUAAUGCUGUGAGGAGAGGUUGAGGAAAUGAUUUUAUUUGGAAUUAUGGAUCAACAUUUUUAUUACUAGUUUUUGUUGACAUCGACGUGAUAACAUCGAAGCACUGAUUUCUCCAACUACAUUUGAAAAGCUAAA